Asparagus officinalis (garden asparagus) is the source of this 604-nucleotide long non-coding RNA. RefSeq lists it as uncharacterized. NCBI's taxonomy places the organism in Eukaryota, Viridiplantae, Streptophyta, Magnoliopsida, Asparagales, Asparagaceae. The record is from RefSeq and is a predicted model, not a curated record. The transcript is spliced from 2 exons.
AUAGAUGCAACCCUGUUUCCUCACUCGAUUAAAGCUUAUUGACCUUGAUUGGUGCUUCCAUGGGAUCAGGCAUUCUUGCUUAUCAAGUUCUCCUUUUUCUUCACAAACAAAAGCUUCCAACUAAAGUUUGAAUCAGGAGGAAACCUUUUGAAUAGUAGAAAGACGUUGAAGAAUCAAAAUGUCAUCGAGGCCAGAGUAUAACCAGAUCUUGGUGAAGAAGCCCGAAGGCCAUGACUUCUGGUCAUAAUAGAUUUUACGAAGUGCUCAUUGUUCCCCCUUUGGCCAUCAAAGUACAAGAAUUUGAUGCUCCUCCAACCUGAAGUUUCUGCGUGUAAUAUUAAAGUUUCUUAUUGUUAUCGAGGUUCCAAACUUGUAUAUCUGUAUCUUCUAGUGUGGGAAUGGUGACGUUGUAGUUUCAGUUGUUUCUCUUAAUAUCCUGUGUCUUUGCUUCUUGAGUUGGUUUCUGAAGAAGUGUCGUGAAUCAGAGCUUUUGAGGAUAGUUAGUGGGUCUGAGAAUUGAUUAUUAGGGAGCGGAAAUACAAUCUCUUAAAUCUAUUUGGUAUUAUUGACAAUAGGACCAAUUUUGUUCAUUAUUUCUGGUAAA